CAAAACACAAUCGAGAAUGCCAACCAAACCAUGGGGGGCCACAAUUGAAUAUUAUACUUUCCCAACUAUAAAAUGUAAGACAAUAAACCACAAAAGCUAACUUUCGUUCAGAUUAACCUCCACUCAACACGUGCUUCAGCGUUGCGCUUCCAACUACAGACGGUCUCACACCUCGUGCUUCAACCUUUUCCAAACACACAUGCACUGGUAAUUCACCCACCAACACUCGCGCAUUCAC
RNAcentral lists this long non-coding RNA (238 nucleotides) under Vigna radiata. RNAcentral describes it as "long non-coding RNA (VRAD_LNC012967)". The record is from RNAcentral. Lineage: Eukaryota; Viridiplantae; Streptophyta; Magnoliopsida; Fabales; Fabaceae.